Molecule: ribosomal RNA, 253 nt
Filed under: uncultured bacterium
Lineage: Bacteria
Description: partial 16S ribosomal RNA
Rfam family: Bacterial small subunit ribosomal RNA
Source: RNAcentral
UACGUAGGGUCCGAGCGUUGUCCGGAAUUACUGGGCGUAAAGAGCUCGUAGGUGGUUUGUCGCGUUGUUCGUGAAAACUCACAGCUCAACUGUGGGCGUGCGGGCGAUACGGGCAGACUGGAGUACUGCAGGGGAGACUGGAAUUCCUGGUGUAGCGGUGAAAUGCGCAGAUAUCAGGAGGAACACCGGUGGCGAAGGCGGGUCUCUGGGCCGAUACUGACGCUGAGGAGCGAAAGCGUGGGGAGCGAACAGG